AAACAGUACAAAAUAAAAUACCUAUUUAUAAGAGUAAGAAUCUAAUUAUAUUAGGCUCCUUCUCUCUAAAAGUCUUCCUUCUCCACCCCUUUCCCUCUACUCCACUCGCCCUCUCUUCUUUUCUUGUUUUUCUUGGUUUUAUGCCAAUAAUGAUUAGCUCUACCCUCCUUUGAAGUUGAUCUGUAUUUGUUGCCUCAAUUUUUGAGUAUUUGUGCUCCUCUUUUUUGGAUGUUUUAUAUGGUUUGUUACUUCAUUGUGUGGUUGAUAGUCCAAAAAGAUGGGCAAGUCUUUUUUUUUUUUUUAAGCAUAUUUUAUUUUUGGUGAUUAUCAUAUAGGA
Molecule: unclassified non-coding RNA, 337 nt
Filed under: Hevea brasiliensis (rubber tree)
Lineage: Eukaryota; Viridiplantae; Streptophyta; Magnoliopsida; Malpighiales; Euphorbiaceae
Source: RNAcentral